GACGAACGCUGGCGGCGUGCCUAAUACAUGCAAGUCGAGCGGACUGAUUAAGAGCUUGCUCUUAUGACGUUAGCGGUGGACGGGUGAGUAACACGUGGGCAACCUGCCCUGUAGAUCGGGAUAACACCGAGAAAUCGGUGCUAAUACCGGGUAAUAUCUGAGAUCACAUGAUCUUAGGUUAAAAGAUGGCUCCGGCUAUCACUACAGGAUGGGCCCGCGGCGCAUUAGCUAGUUGGUAAGGUAAUGGCUUACCAAGGCGACGAUGCGUAGCCGACCUGAGAGGGUGAUCGGCCACACUGGGACUGAGACACGGCCCAGACUCCUACGGGAGGCAGCAGUAGGGAAUCUUCCGCAAUGGACGAAAGUCUGACGGAGCAACGCCGCGUGAGUGAUGAAGGGUUUCGGCUCGUAAAGCUCUGUUGUUAGGGAAGAAACAGUACCGAACGAACUAGGUCGGUACCUUGACGGUACCUAACCAGAAAGCCACGGCUAACUACGUG
This 500-nucleotide ribosomal RNA is filed under the name uncultured bacterium. RNAcentral describes it as "partial 16S ribosomal RNA". It matches the Rfam family "Bacterial small subunit ribosomal RNA", at positions 28 to 507 of the family's 1533-position model. The record is from RNAcentral.